UAUAAGGAAAAAGGAAAUGAGGGCUUUUGGGGUUGGGCAUGUCGGGUUAGGUUUUAGCCUAGGAUGGCGGGGCUCGAUUGGGUUUUAGGAUGGCCCAAUGUGUUGGGCAUGACUGACCCAGUUGUGGAAGCCCUUGGGCUAGCCCACUCGGCUUGUUCUCCCUUGUCGCUUGUCCGGGAACCUAGGAUGACUUGGUUAGGUUGGUCCUACUCGGGAUAUCGAUGUCAAUUUAAUUUGGGUUCUCUUUAGGUCUCCUAGAAUUGGCGAUAUGAUUAGCGAGUCAUUUUGUUGAUCGGAGUCCUAAGGACGAAGCCCUAUUAGACGACUCGAGGCCGAGUAAGACUGACCCCGAGUGCGUUCUAGGCUAGCCUAUGAUGAUGACGUGGGUUUAUUUCGAAUCCUGAUUUCUGAUGGAUUCCUUUUAUCUGAGGCUAGAAUAUUGCAAUUUAUUCCUUUUAAACCAUUUAUUAAAUUAUUAAUUAAUUAUUAAGUUUUCAAGAAAAUUUAUCAAUUUAGUUAUAAAUAUAUAUAUGUAUGUAUUUUUGAUAAAGGAGGAAUUUAGAUAAAAAAUAUAUUAUCUAUAUUAAAAGAAAACUAGUUUAUGGGUAAAUAUAUAUAUAUAUAUUAUGAUAUUGCAGCCUAUAAGUGGGUGUGUAGUUCCACUAUACACUUACGCGUAGCAAGCAAAGCGAGACAUGAUGACGUAGUCGAUGGCUUAGCUCGACGAAUUCCAUGACGCCAGAUUUGAAUAUUGCGCGGGCCAAGGCUCAGAUUCUCAGGAUUUUGUUCGAUCUUCUCCCCAGACUCGGACUUGAGUCAUCAUUUCCCAGGCGAGUAGACAGGAUAUGUUAUGAUUACCUUAUAUUAUGCACGUAUAUACUGUUUUAUUCAUAAAUAUUAUAACCUUGUAUAAAUUUUUAUAUGCAUAACUCGUACAUGAUUUUUAUAUGCGGAUCAUAGAAAAAUACUCUUAAAUGUUUCUAAUUUGCAUGAAAUAUUUUCAUCCUACUGGGAGAGACAUAAACUGAAAGAUACCCUAAUUGAUUUCUUGUUUUGAGAAUGUGAAUUAUUGAAUGAUAUGGUGUAUUUUAGGCACCACAUGAAAUGAUAAAUGAUUAUGACUUGUGCAUAAAUUAGGGUAUUAUUUGCAUUAUUAUUAGAGGACUAUCUAGUAGAUUCCCUGGUGACUCACAGCAGGAAAAGAUCAUGGUACUGUGAGGCUUGGCAUGCCAAGGCCAUGAGAGACACGGAUAGUAUGCUUCAGCACUGCUAUCACGUGGGCCUUUAUGAUGAUAUUGUGUGAUGAUGAUGUAUGUGCCGAUAUAUAUACUUGUGUGCAUGUGUAUAUAGGCGUUAGGCCAGUUUCUACUAGUGUGUCCUCAGAAUCAGUGCAUGCAUCUCAUACAAAAGUAUAGG
Molecule: long non-coding RNA, 1416 nt
Organism: Diospyros lotus (date-plum)
Lineage: Eukaryota; Viridiplantae; Streptophyta; Magnoliopsida; Ericales; Ebenaceae
Exons: 2
Source: RefSeq, a predicted model, not a curated record